CAUGCAAGUCGAACGAGAGAGAAGGAGCUUGCUUCUUCGAUCGAGUGGCGAACGGGUGAGUAACGCGUGAGGAACCUGCCUCAAAGAGGGGGACAACAGUUGGAAACGACUGCUAAUACCGCAUAAGCCCACGGGUCGGCAUCGAUCUGAGGGAAAAGGAGCAAUCCGCUUUGAGAUGGCCUCGCGUCCGAUUAGCUAGUUGGUGAGGUAACGGCCCACCAAGGCGACGACCGGUAGCCGGACUGAGAGGUUGAACGGCCACAUUGGGACUGAGACACGGCCCAGACUCCUACGGGAGGCAGCAGUGGGGAAUAUUGCACAAUGGGGGAAACCCUGAUGCAGCGACGCCGCGUGGAGGAAGAAGGUCUUCGGAUUGUAAACUCCUGUUGUUGAGGAAGAUAAUGACGGUACUCAACAAGGAAGUGACGGCUAACUACGUGCCAGCAGCCGCGGUAAAACGUAGGUCACAAGCGUUGUCCGGAAUUACUGGGUGUAAAGGGAGCGCAGGCGGGAAGACAAGUUGGAAGUGAAAUCUAUGGGCUCAACCCAUAAACUGCUUUCAAAACUGUUUUUCUUGAGUAGUGCAGAGGUAGGCGGAAUUCCCGGUGUAGCGGUGGAAUGCGUAGAUAUCGGGAGGAACACCAGUGGCGAAGGCGGCCUACUGGGCACCAACUGACGCUGAGGCUCGAAAGUGUGGGUAGCAAACAGGAUUAGAUACCCUGGUAGUCCACACCGUAAACGAUGAUUACUAGGUGUUGGAGGAUUGACCCCUUCAGUGCCGCAGUUAACACAAUAAGUAAUCCACCUGGGGAGUACGACCGCAAGGUUGAAACUCAAAGGAAUUGACGGGGGCCCGCACAAGCAGUGGAGUAUGUGGUUUAAUUCGACGCAACGCGAAGAACCUUACCAAGUCUUGACAUCCUGCGACGAUGCUAGAA
Molecule: ribosomal RNA, 938 nt
Filed under: uncultured bacterium
Lineage: Bacteria
Description: bacterial SSU rRNA
Rfam family: Bacterial small subunit ribosomal RNA
Source: RNAcentral